Molecule: non-coding RNA, 70 nt
Organism: Ictidomys tridecemlineatus (thirteen-lined ground squirrel)
Lineage: Eukaryota; Metazoa; Chordata; Mammalia; Rodentia; Sciuridae
Source: Rfam
GGGGAUAUAGCUCAGUUGGUAGAGUGCUUGCCUCACAUGCAUAAGGCCCUGGGUUCAAUCCCCAGCACCA